This 540-nucleotide ribosomal RNA is filed under the name Triticum aestivum (bread wheat). RNAcentral describes it as "partial small subunit ribosomal RNA". The record is from RNAcentral. Lineage: Eukaryota; Viridiplantae; Streptophyta; Magnoliopsida; Poales; Poaceae.
AUGGGUUUUGUUAAACUGAAUGUGGAUGCAUCUUUUGAUCGUGAUCUGCUAAGGGGCACAGCUGGUGCAGUACUCAGAGACGACAAAGGAAAAUUUAUUGUUGGCGGAAGCUGGAAGAUUGAAUGGUGUGCUGAUGCUCUGACAGCAAAAGCUCUAGCUUUGAGAUUCGGAUUAUCUUUUGCACAAAAGGCGGGAUGCAAUCGUCUUGUUAUUAACUCUGAUAAUACGGAAGUGAUCGAGACAAUGAAUAAUGGAGGACGGUCGGCGGGAGCGGCGACGGCAGUGUUUGAUGAUUGCUAUUUUUUGGCUUGUGACUUUCUUCUCACUAAUUUCGAACAUUGUAAUAGGGAGGUGAACAUGGUUGCUCAUGAAAUUGCUAGGCUAGCAAAAUUUUCUGCACCAAAUUCUUGGUUUGAGGAGCCGGUGGACGAUAUUGUAGAACUUUUAAUAGACGAUAUUGUAGCACUUUUAAUAGACGAUGUAACCGUUAGCACCAAAAUUUUCUUUUUGUCAAAAAAAGGGGGUCUUAGCAUCAUCUAA